GAUGAACGCUGGCGGCGUGCCUAAUACAUGCAAGUCGAGCGAACAGACGAGAAGCUUGCUUCUCUGAUGUUAGCGGCGGACGGGUGAGUAACACGUGGAUAACCUACCUAUAAGACUGGGAUAACUUCGGGAAACCGGAGCUAAUACCGGAUAAUAUUUUGAACCGCAUGGUUCAAAAGUGAAAGACGGUCUUGCUGUCACUUAUAGAUGGAUCCGCGCCGCAUUAGCUAGUUGGUAAGGUAACGGCUUACCAAGGCAACGAUGCAUAGCCGACCUGAGAGGGUGAUCGGCCACACUGGAACUGAGACACGGUCCAGACUCCUACGGGAGGCAGCAGUAGGGAAUCUUCCGCAAUGGGCGAAAGCCUGACGGAGCAACGCCGCGUGAGUGAUGAAGGUCUUCGGAUCGUAAAACUCUGUUAUUAGGGAAGAACAUAUGUGUAAGUAACUGUGCACAUCUUGACGGUACCUAAUCAGAAAGCCACGGCUAACUACGUG
This 497-nucleotide ribosomal RNA is filed under the name uncultured bacterium. RNAcentral describes it as "partial 16S ribosomal RNA". It matches the Rfam family "Bacterial small subunit ribosomal RNA", at positions 28 to 507 of the family's 1533-position model. The record is from RNAcentral.